This 3761-nucleotide long non-coding RNA is filed under the name Triticum aestivum (bread wheat). Its description in RNAcentral is "long non-coding RNA (TAES_LNC023893)". Lineage: Eukaryota; Viridiplantae; Streptophyta; Magnoliopsida; Poales; Poaceae. The record is from RNAcentral.
GGGACUCCAAGAUGUGAAUCAACCUUGCUCAUGAUACCAAGAUGUUGUAGGAUGAAACCCUAGAUGGGAUCUUUUCCCACUUGGAGGGGGAAAGAGGAAGAACACACAAGAACACAAGGAGGAAAUCACUCAAACAAACCCAAAUAACACAUCCACUAGAGUAGCAUACAUGAGAUCCACAAGCAUACAAGAACAAUUCAAGGAAAUUAGCACUAGGGUAAAGUUCUUCCCACUCCUAGGAGAUGAGGUCUUGAUGUUGAUCUUCUCCAAGAGGAGGCCUUGAUAAUCCACAAGGAUUCUUCCCAAGAUGGGGGCUUGAUCUCCAAGAGGAGGCGAUACAAGGAGCAAAGCUCUCUAGUGUCUAUCAAAUACUUUGCCAACCUCUAUAUGAGCUAGGGGAGAGUACUUAUAGCCUAGGGACGAAAUAAGAGGGAAAGAGGGGUACAAGGGUCAUAUUGCCCGAGUUGCACAUAGACAAAAUCGGCGGAGUUCGGGCACCUGGGGUAAAGGGGUCCGGGCACCCGGACCGGUCAGAGGGAGGCGCCAAAGAGGGGGGCUGGGCACCCGGACGGGUCAGAGGGUCGAUGGCCUAGCCGCGGUAGAGGCCGGGCACCCGGGGGUCGCGGCCCGGGCACCCGGAGGCAAGGGCCAGCGCCCAGCGGGGUGGCCGGGCACCCGGGGCGGCGAGCAGCGCCCAGGCUGGGGCGGCCGGGCACCCGGGUGUCCAGUGGCUCCACUCCUUCAUGCCCUUCUUCCUUCUCCUUCCUCCAUGUGUGCUUGAGUCUCCCUCCUAGCUUCUGCAUGGUCAAGUCCUUAGUACCUAAGAAGGCACAACGAAUCCAUUUGAGGUAGAACCCAACUCUCAUGUAAAUCUGAGAGGAAAGAAUUAACCUCAGUUUCGAUUGCGCGUGCUCUUGUCAUUGGUCCACCUCGUGCUUAAUGAGUUGUAGUAGAGUCCAUGGGGAUGAUGUAGGGAUGCUCCGCAUCACGUAUCCCGCCCUUUUGUAACAUUUUGCAUUGUUCCUGUGCUAAAAUCCCCCACCCUCUUCUUCCAAAUCGUCACUCUUCACCUAAUUCCCGCCAUUUUCUCUCGCUUCUUCUUCGCUGCCGCCGCCGACACAUGGAACCGGACCAGGACCUGCCGGAGAUGGAGGUCGGGGAGUGUGGCACCCCGAUCCGCAUGGAGUAGGGGGCCUUCGCACGUCAGCCCAGGAUAACACCUGACGCACGACAGGUCCAUAAUACAGCAUUCCAGGUACAAUAAUAUUCAUCGAAUACAUGUGCAUCAGAGUACAUCAUUGAUGAAUACAAUCAUCUGGCAUAGCCAUAAGGCUAGAAAAUAACAGCGGAAGUCUAUUAAAAUGGCGGCAGAAGUCUUGGUUUGACAGCAUAACAACUCUGGCUGGGCUCCACAACUCACAGGACUGGCAAGGUUACGGCCUAGCACGACGGAUCAAGCAAACAAUUCGGGUAUGACCUACAAAACUGGCAUGACACGCCAGGUCAGUACACUGAAUGUACUUGCAAGACAACGAAAUACAUAGCAUCCAAACAAGCAGAAGACAAAGCAAGAACCAAGCGCAUGCAACAACCUAUCUCAUAUCAAUUACUAAACAUGGCAUGAUAAAAAUUCAACUAAGCAUGAACCAAAUCAUAACAUCUACUAACAUGGCAAUGACAUGGCAUAUCAGAUCAUGCUUCUAACAUGGCAAUGGCAAAGCAUAUCAUCUCAAUCAUGGCAUAAUUUAACAUGCCAAUCGAAGCAUGGCAUGGCAUCAUGAAACUAUGCUGAAAAUAAACUACCGAUUAUAUCCAAUGCAGACAUAGCAUGUUAACUAUAUACAAUCAUCUUCUGUUCUGCCUUAGGUUUUUAAAUGCAACAUAUUACUCAUGCAAUGCAACCAAACUCGUACACCGAGUCCCUCGGACUCUCUUACCAACGUGUUGCCUCGCAACCGAGCGGUGAUCAUUCCGGCGAUCACAACCAUGACCAACACUUGGUCUCCAACACUUAUCGAGACCUCGUCUCGUGAUCAUAUCAAAACAUCGUCGUGACUUCUCACAACUAUCUCAUAGUCCAAGUCACCAUAUUUUUGUUAUCACAUAUUUAUUUACCAAUUUAAUUAUUUCAGGUUUAUCCUCCAUUUCGACCAAGACCUGAUAGUGGGACCUACUACAAACUGUUGCUAUCGAUAGACUUUAUACACUCUGCAGAGGUAGCACACUGUACCCACACCACGGAACCCAUGGCCUCGUCAUCCCAUUCGGGUGGACCAACGGCAUUCCGACGAAACCAACCUACUGCCAUGACGCUCUCCCGGCCACUCCGACCCAAUCCCCAAUGGGCUGGUCCUGGGUGGCCCCGUGUCUACCAAAGACACCCCGACCACCAUCGUGGUCAACUCCCACUCGGGGACUGGUACCAAAAAUCUAAAAAACGAGCACACAAGGUUAUGUCCGCUUACCUGAUCAGGGUAAGCACGCCCAUAACCUUCCCUAGUGGGAGGCACCAGCGAGAGGUCACGACAAUAGCUCGCAUUAAGGCCUUCCCACAAAGGCAAAUGUGGCUGCACUGAAAAAGUUCGAUUUGGUGGCACUAUGACUCGAUCCCAUCGAUGAUGGAGGAGGUUUGUUAUUAUUAAGUCAUUUUAAUUCCUUCUCCAUCAUCAUGAACAUGAAUGCAACAAUGAGCAUGCAGCAUACGAUUGCAUGAACAAAAUAUUGAACUACUCAAGUGCACAGCUAUAGCAUAAAGAACAUGACAAUACCAAGUAAUAGCAUACCAACGGUGCAUUACAAUCCUCAUAACAUUGUAUAAUGAUGACAUGCAAAUAAAGUAGAGUAGUGACAUGGCAUUAUCAAUAACAACAUUUUAAUUAGCAUGGCAAAAGAUAUCAUGAAAACACAAGCAUGCAUAAUAGGCAUAAUAACUGCAGACGAAAAUGAUGUGAAACAACUGCAACUACACACACACACACAAGGUGCAAGCAAAGUCAACAUGCAAGUUCGAGGCUCAUGAUAAGAGGUUGGCUUGCCUGGGGGUCGAGGAAUACUCCGAGAAAAAGUGCGAAACGAUCGCGGAAAGAUUUGCCGGAAACAGUUCUCUCUCGGAGGGGUUGUUUACGUGCAAGGGCAAAAUGGUCAUUUUCACUGUACGAAAACAUUAUGAAAAUGAUACCAACGGAAAGGGUUCGAUGAACAGAGAACGUGAGCAUUGGAAUCACCUCAAUCGGAGUUACGGUUGAAAAGUUGUGGCCGUUCACUUUUUAGGCAGAAAAUGCACUCAAGCAGUGAACGUUCACAAAAUAAGCACUUCGGCGGGCGGGGCUGAAAAGAGAAAACGCAUUUCAGAAAACACGUCUUCAUAACACUGAAAGCGUAUUCCUGACAGAAGAAGCAGCAGAGUACGCUUUCUUUAACCGGAGACGUACUUACAUGAAAUGCGCUUCCACUUAAUCCAGUCAGCAGGUCCGCCACAUCAGCGCUGGGACAAUGACAGGCGGGGCCCACGGCAUCUUCCCUCUCCUCCCGCCUGGCCUUCUUCUCCAGCGCGACGCAGAGAACAGGGGCGGGCCGGCCGCCGACCUGGCCAUCGCCUCGCAGCUCCCCGGGGCCGGAUGACAAGCGGAGGGGCUCUGCCACUCCACGCCGUGCCUGCUGGUGGCCGCGGGGUCGCGUGGGACGGCCCACAGUGCCGACGCCACGACUCGGGCGCCAUGGCCGGAGCAAGGCAGGGUCAGGGUCGCAACGACAGGGCUUCC